AGAGAGAUAGUACACAAGUUGGUC
RNAcentral lists this microRNA (24 nucleotides) under Prunus persica (peach). RNAcentral's name for it is "microRNA miRNA_56". The record is from RNAcentral. Lineage: Eukaryota; Viridiplantae; Streptophyta; Magnoliopsida; Rosales; Rosaceae.